AUGGCGGCCUCGCUCCUCUCGCGCGCCGCCUCGGCCGCCUUCGCCCUCCGCGGCGGCGCCCGGCUCCUCCCCAAGGAAACCCCCCUUCCUCCUCCCCUCCUCCCGCUCCUCCUCAUCCUCCUCGCCACUGCCGCCGGCACGCUCCCCGCGAAACUUGCAGGGCAGGGUCGGAUGGGCGCCGCUGCGGAGGUCGGGUGCGGGGCGUCGCUGUCGCCGUCAAUGACGCCGUUCGGGAUCGCCACACGCUUCAACGCCACGUCGUCGGCCGUCUCGGAGGCCGCCUUCGCCAACGCCGCGUCGGGCGCCGUCCACGCGGUGCCGCGGACCGAGCCUGUGGUGUCCGCCGAGUGGCUGCACGCCAACCUCAGGGACCGUUCUGAGGCUGCUCGGUGCUAA
RNAcentral lists this ribosomal RNA (396 nucleotides) under Triticum aestivum (bread wheat). RNAcentral describes it as "partial small subunit ribosomal RNA". Lineage: Eukaryota; Viridiplantae; Streptophyta; Magnoliopsida; Poales; Poaceae. The record is from RNAcentral.